GCGGUGGUGGUGGAAUUGGUAGACACGCAAGGUUGAGGGCCUUGUGGGCAUUAGCCCGUGAGGGUUCAAGUCCCUCCCACCGCACCA
This 87-nucleotide transfer RNA is filed under the name Nautiliaceae bacterium. Its description in RNAcentral is "tRNA-Leu". It matches the Rfam family "tRNA". Rfam says of the family: Transfer RNA (tRNA) molecules are approximately 80 nucleotides in length. Their secondary structure includes four short double-helical elements and three loops (D, anti-codon, and T loops). Further hydrogen bonds mediate the characteristic L-shaped molecular structure. tRNAs have two regions of fundamental functional importance: the anti-codon, which is responsible for specific mRNA codon recognition, and the 3' end, to which the tRNAs corresponding amino acid is attached (by aminoacyl-tRNA synthetases). tRNAs cope with the degeneracy of the genetic code in two manners: having more than one tRNA (with a specific anti-codon) for a particular amino acid; and 'wobble' base-pairing, i.e. permitting non-standard base-pairing at the 3rd anti-codon position. Lineage: Bacteria; Pseudomonadati; Campylobacterota; Epsilonproteobacteria; Nautiliales; Nautiliaceae. The record is from RNAcentral.